This 2926-nucleotide long non-coding RNA is filed under the name Homo sapiens (human). RNAcentral's name for it is "PREDICTED lncRNA (TCONS_00257627)". Lineage: Eukaryota; Metazoa; Chordata; Mammalia; Primates; Hominidae. The record is from RNAcentral.
AGACAUUAAUCUUAAGUAUCCAGGGAGCCCUAAAACAUUGUAUCCCACUAGCAAGGACCAUGGUAAUUGCCACGUAAAUCCCCUCCAUUAUGUGGCCCUUAUUAUGACCAGCCAGCCAAGGCUUGCCUUUAAAUCAUACCAAUUGAACCGAGCCUUGUAGAAACACUAUCACCUACGCAUACCUCUGCUUCUUUUCAUUAACCUGCUAUCCUCUUUACAAAUGGGAUUCUUCACCCACUCCCUUCUUCUAGAUUAGCAAUGCCCUGUUAAGUAAACGAACACGAAAUUCAAAGGGAAACAGGAGCAAUCAUCAUUACCAGCUGCCGUGUUAAGCAUUGCGAAAACGCUCACGAUUCACAGAAAAAUCCAUGCUGUUCUUUGAAGGCAUUCAAGCCUUAAUAGCUAGCUGGAUGAAUGUUUAACUUCUAGGCCAGGCACUACUCUGUCCCAACAAUAAGCCCUGUACAUUGGGAAAGGUGCCGAGACAUGAACUUUGGUCUUCUCUGCAAUCCAUCUGGAGCAUUCACUGACAACAUCGACUUUGAAGUUGCACUGACCUGGCCAGCCCUGCCACUUACCAGGUUGGCUCUGUAUGGCUAAGCGUUUUCUCCUAAAAUCCCUUGAAAACUGUGAGAAGACCAUAAGAAGAUCAUAUCUUUAAUUCUAUUUCACAAGUCACACAAUAUUCCAAUCAAAUACAGAUGGUUGAGAAAAGUCAUCCAUCUUCCCUCCCCACCCUCCCACAGCCCCUCAACCACUGCCCUGAAACUUAUAUGCUGUUAUCCGCAGCUCCAUCUGGAGCAUCACAGCUACUGUCAACCCUGACGCUCUUUCUGAAAAAACACCGGAUGGACAUCAGAACUAUUUCUUUAAGGAUGUUACUGAGCCACACAGGAAAACUUGCCUUAUGAUUUUGAAUGCACGGAUCUGAUUUGACUAAACAUGAUAACUAGAGAAUCACCCAAUCUACUCCCAUUUUCAACUCUAAAUCAUCAGAGUGUCUCAAAUCCAAAGCACACACAGACCAGCCUGGCCAACACGGUGAAACUCCACCCCUACUAAAAGUAUAAAAAUUAUCCAGGUGUGGUGGCGGGCGCCUGUAAUCCAAGCUACUUGGGAGUCUGGAGGCAGGAGAAUCCCUUGAACCUGGGAGAUGGAGGUUGCAGUGAGCAGAGAUCACACCACCGCACUCUAGCCUGGGCCACAAAUCAACAACAACAACAACAACAAAAAACAAAGCGCACACAGAGACUGAGGUCCUCUUUGGCAUUGAGAAGAUGGCUAUGCAAGUCCCAACUAGCAAGUGCAAACUUCCCAGCUUCACUUCUGCCAGUGUCCCUUCACCCCUUCUCAACCCCACUGGGAGGCAGGAGGGUGCUUGACAAUAACAGCCUUGGCAUCACUCUGCCAGGGUGUAAUAGGAACUGUUACAAUUCUGAGAUUCUGUAUGGGAGUGUCUAGUUGCAGGAAACAAGCUCAGGGCUUCCACUGAUUCUACAUUAUGGCUGUGGCUUGCCUUUUCACUUCUUGUGUCCUGUUUAAGAAAUAUCUGCUAUCCCAAGAUAACACUAACAAAGUUGACCUUAGAAUUGGAGUGCCUGGGUUAGAACCCUGCUGGUACCACCUGCUUACUGCAUGCUUCUGAUGUGAGUUCAGGAGAAGACACUGGCAAGGACAGCAAAGAACAGGAGAACACUCUAGCUUCCCUGAUAGCAUUCAAGGUGCUGUCCAAAGCUCUUGAGUUUCUGCUUUCAAGUGACCCUCAGAAAUUCCUCCAUUCACUGCAGAGGUUCUGUUUCUCCUUGCUUUGUUCUGACUUUACGGCAGAACUAAGCUAAUGAGUUAGUUACUAUGGGUUAUCACUUGGAUUUGAAGAACCAUCAUUUCUAGGCAUUGCUGCUCAGAGUGACCUUGCCAUCGUAUCCCCUUUUGGAGACACAAGCCAGGAAGGAAGCUCUUCAGUGCAGCUGUGAAUAGAGAAAUGCUGGCUGAGGUUUUGGAGACACUGGGUGAUCAUUCCCAGUGAAAUUUUUAGAUCCCUGGGGACAUGAGCUGCUUUGUCUUUUCCAAGGCUGAAAAAGUUUUGGAAGCCCUCCUAAGCAGGUGCCAGACCCUUUUUUGGCCAGAGACAGGAUCUUACGCUGUUGCCCAGGCUGGAGUGCAAUAGUGUCAUCAUGGCUCACUGUAGCCUGGAACUGCUGGGCUCAAGGGAUCCUCCCAGCUCAGCCUCCCAAGUAGCUAGGAGUAAAGUUGGAGGAACUGGUUAUUUUCCCAGGGCUUUGACUGAAAUGGCCUUGUGAAUGGUUCCAGGAAAGCCAAUUUUGGAGACCCUAUGUGGAUGAUGAUGCUUGCUGUACUUUCUGUGGGUAAUCGGGCCAAGUAUAUGGGACUGAAGCUAAUUUUGCAGGUGAGAAAAUGGAGGUCCAGAGAGAAAAGUGACUCACCCAAGCUGAAAACAGUUGCAGGAAGAAAAGCCAGGACAGAACUGGGCUGUUAGAAACCUUGGAGUACACUAAAGAUGAGGAACUGAGUCACCGCAAUGCCAAAUGUAACACGCUGUGGGUCAAAAUUUGGAUGGUUGCGUUGGAAAUUAUUCUGAAGCCACAGACAGGGCUAAAAGAGUCUAGAAUGUCCUACUAGCUGUUGGAACCUGCUGGAGUUCUAAAGGCAUGCGAUGUCCUGAAUGUGCUUGACCAAUGGACACAGCAGGUAUUUGAAGAGUUUUGAUGCUUCCUUUCUGUUUUCAGUGCUAUUUUUUUGCUUUAUUUCUUUUAAAAAACUUUCCCCACAGAGGCUAUUUAUUACACAGCAGCAGCCAGCAUGCACCAAGCAGAACUGCUUUUCAUAAUAAACCUAUUUAUCUUCUGGCAUGUCAGAAAUUUCUCAAAUUGAUACUUAUAAUAAAUAUGAUUAAUAACACAUUGUA